GCAACUAGCUAAACGAUCUCAAUUACACAUUAAUACGAGGCAUGAGAAACCGACCCAAAAAACAAAAUUGCACAUGAAAAGAAGUCGGCAUAUCACUAAUUAUUUCCCAAACAAUCUAUACUUAGCAAAAUCUAAAAAAACAGAUAAACACACAAACCUACACAUGAUAAAAAGAAACUUGAUUAAACGAAGAAGGAAGCUGCACAUCCGGCUAGCAACACUCCAGGCUUUAUUAAAAAUAGGGAAAAAGAAACAACAUGCGGUCAGCUUGCUAAAGCAAACCUACACACAGCCCCAGGGCCUGUACACGCUUGCACGGACAGAAAUUGAGGAAAGAAAAGACAUGCACACAGCACGGAUCUUGAAGCUCAUCCGACGGUUGAGAAGGUCGACUGAGAAGGUCGCCUGAGAAUUAGCAAAAGCCUUAAAGUUUACGGAACAAAUUUAACAAACACAGCGUCCAGCCGAUUCGGAAGGUAGCUCCUUUUCUUUUAUCACACCGUCACUAGACGCC
RNAcentral lists this long non-coding RNA (514 nucleotides) under Brachypodium distachyon (stiff brome). Its description in RNAcentral is "long non-coding RNA (BDIS_LNC002747)". The record is from RNAcentral. Lineage: Eukaryota; Viridiplantae; Streptophyta; Magnoliopsida; Poales; Poaceae.